This is a small nuclear RNA of Vulpes vulpes (red fox), 107 nucleotides long. The record is from Ensembl. NCBI's taxonomy places the organism in Eukaryota, Metazoa, Chordata, Mammalia, Carnivora, Canidae.
GUGCUUGCUUCGGCAGCAGAUAUACUAAAAUUGGAACAAUACAGAGAAGAUUAGCGUGGCCCUUGCGCAAGGAUGACAUGCAAAAAUCAAAUGUAAGCCGGGGAGAA